AGCAGCCGCCGCGGGAAUACGGAGGGUGCAAGCGUUAAUCGGAAUUACUGGGCGUAAAGCGCACGCAGGCGGUCUGACAAGUCAGAUGUGAAAUCCCCGGGCUUAACCUGGGAACUGCAUUUGAAACUGUCAGGCUGGAGUCUUGUAGAGGGGGGUGGAAUUCCAGGUGUAGCGGUGAAAUGCGUAGAGAUCUGGAGGAAUACCGGUGGCGAAGGCGGCCCCCUGGACAAAGACUGACGCUCAGGUGCGAAAGCGUGGGGAGCAAACAGGAUUAGAUACCCCUGUAGUCCUGUCUCUUAUACC
RNAcentral lists this ribosomal RNA (303 nucleotides) under uncultured bacterium. Its description in RNAcentral is "partial 16S ribosomal RNA". It matches the Rfam family "Bacterial small subunit ribosomal RNA", at positions 507 to 808 of the family's 1533-position model. The record is from RNAcentral.